This is a long non-coding RNA of Ornithodoros turicata, 2909 nucleotides long. RefSeq lists it as uncharacterized. The record is from RefSeq and is a predicted model, not a curated record. Lineage: Eukaryota; Metazoa; Arthropoda; Arachnida; Ixodida; Argasidae. The transcript has 3 exons.
UAGAAGCACGGCACCGUGUUCUUUGUGGAGGUAUAGCGAACGCGCAUUCCUUUCUUUCUUUUUUGGUUCGCGACGGCCGAGUGGCGAUAUCCUAUUACAUCCGGAACGAGGACCUAUCGCUUUGCGAUCGCAUACAAGAGUGAGCCAUCUUUUGACGAUGGUAGGAUAAUUAUUGACCUGAGGAAUAAUAUGGAUUUAUGUGGUUGUGGUGGACUUUGUGUUUGUGACUGUGAAAAUGUGAGUGUGCGUCUGUGUAUGUGUGCGCGCGGGCGCGCGCGCUUUCCUGAACCAGGGAUCCCACUUGACAAGUUGACCAAAGGAGCAUUAGUGGAAAAAAACAGGGUAGCCCUGAGACAAUAGGAUGCCGUCACGACCAAUGAGACUGGCCUGCAGGGGGCGCAAGGAUUCACUUCUCUCUUGGACACUGGCGGGUGUAGACACGGUAAUUAUGAUCCUGGCGUUGGCCGUCAGUGGAAGAGCGUAGCUUAGGUGGGGUUCUGUCUGCCUCUGAUGGGGUGUGGAUGUAUGGUUCGUCACUGGUGAAUGGUGUUCGACGAUGCAGGUGGAUUUUGUGACGAGCGGAUUUACAAUGAGGGAAUGCUGUGAACGGGAAAAAUGAUGGUGAGUGCCUUUUUCACUCUGUUCAAGUGUUCGUUUUCCUCUGUUGCCCAACAGUCGUGCGAAUUUGAUUUGUCCUGACGUGUCCUGACAUGCCCCGAUAUGCAUGCUUUCCUUUGUUAACGCUUUGUAUUUUGUCUUUUUUUGACAAGGAACAUUGUCGUCUUGACGAUAGUGCUGCCCUGAGUUCUGCGUGCGUUGAUUUGUUGAGUGCCUAGUCCUCUUAUUUGUCGUUGAUGGAGUUACGUGUUAGGAUAUUUUGGUCUUUUGCAAGUCUCAUUUAGUAAGACUUUGGAAUUCCUACGAUCAGCUUUCAUGCAUGGUGCUCUUCUGCAAUAGUUUCCUAUUCAAUCGUUAUAGAAGAAUAAAGGAAAUAAUCAUGGGAUAGUGAUUCAAUAAAUAAUAGGUCCCCUGUCUAGAGCGCACGCGUCCUUGAGCCACGCAGGUGCAUGAUGACGUCAUACCGUGGCUUCACUGCAGAUUGACCAAAGGAGCAUUAGUGGAAAAAAACAGUGUAGCCCUGAGACAAUAGGAUGAUGUCUGGACCAAUGAGAACUGCCAGCAGGGGGCGCAGGAAUGCUCUUCUCACUUAGCCUCACGACCAAUGAGAAUGGCCAGCAGGGGGCGCAGGAAUGCUCUUCUCUCUUAGCCUCUCGCAGGUGGCGGUAGGAGCGCGCAGAGGGCGCUACGAGCGCGCGCAUGCGUAGCACCCGUAGAGUGGCGCUUACGACAGUCCACCUCUGGCUCUCGUUGGGAGAAGACGUGCGGUCGUUCGCUCCGUCGUCACUUGAUCCCUGGCUGUCGACGAGAGCAGUCGCAUCGGUCUGCGCUCCUACUGUGAGCUGUCCUAACUUGCCCAGACAUGCCAUGAUGACGUCACAGCUGACGUCACAGGAUGUCCGGAACUGGUGGUCAUAGCUGCGAUGCUUUGCAACCUGCCUCCGUGCUCCGUCGCCCAGCGACAGUCAGCGGCCGUUCCGGACGGCUUCCUUCAAGAUGGCGUCGUUGAUCUUCAACGAAACUCCUUCUCUCCACUCUAUCUCUAUCUAUUUUUUUUAUUUUUAUCAGCUCAACUAGCCCACAACUCACACAGUGGUCUGGACACGUCCUAGAUGCUCCCCAAUUAGUGUAAUGACUCCCUGAAUUAUCCUGAUUAAUGUGGGGGGUCCCAAUUAGCUCUAAUUGCUCAUUAAUGGCGUCCAGACGAAGAUGUGAGUUGUGGGCCAGUUGAGCUGAUACUUUACUACUAAUUUCCCUCUUUGGCUUGGCUUAAAGAAGCUUGACCCGGUACGCUUUCACCGCUUCCUUGGCGUGGUAAUCGACUCGGACUUGCGCUGGGCUCGGCACAUUAAACAUCUUGAAACUAAAGUGCAGCGAUGGCUCCCAGCAAUUCAACAUCUUUCUGGCUCAGGAUGGGGCUGUGAUCAGCGUUCCCUGCUCAAGGUUCACGCGGCAUUGGUGAGGGCAACUGUGCUUUACAGCCUUCCUAUUCUGCACAGGAUAUCAACAACUUCAUUAAAUACACUUCGGUCCCUGUUUGCUCGAAGCCUUCGUCGAUGCCUCGGAGUUCCCAGAAUGGCUGAAACACGGCAAGUACUGGCUGAAGCUGGUGAGCUCCCGAUUGAAGUUCUCCGUGAACGGGAAACGGCUCAGCACUACCUCCGUUUGCGUGCUCACAUUCCCCGCCACCCGCUACUCAGGAAAAUUCGAUACCGCCCUGAAAGCGACUUCUAUCGAGUAGCGAAGAGGACACGCCAGACUCUCACUGGCUUCAUAACUAAGGACACUAUACCGCCGGAAGCCCCCUGGUCUCUACCGGUACCGCCAACUUUUGUACGCCUCCCAAACCUUCUGGAAAGAAGAGAUCAGGUCCCCCCUCAAGUCCUCCGAGCCCAUUUUCAUGCUCUGGUAGACGCAAAGUUUUCUACGUUUACGGCAGCAUAUACUGAUGGCGCAUCCCUAAACAACAAGUCCGCCUCAGCCUUCGUCAUUCCAUCCGAAGGCGUCGUGCACGGAAGACGCCUCUCACAUCCAACCUCCUCCACAGCUGCGGAACUCUAUGCCACUCUUUUCUUUCUACAACACAUCGCUGAUUUUCCACCCCGGGAAUGGGCAGUCUUUACAGACUCCAAAUCUGCCCUUCAAGCAAUUGAAAAUUCCGGCAUACGAGGCCCAUCCGCACCCCUAGUCACAGACGUGCUAAUGGCUUACCACACUAUCUACGCCGCAGGCCACAGGCUAGUUCUCCAGUGGGUUCCAGCCCACUGUGGUGUCGUGGGGAACGAGGAGGC